This is a long non-coding RNA of Vidua macroura (Pin-tailed whydah), 746 nucleotides long. RefSeq lists it as uncharacterized. The transcript is spliced from 3 exons. The record is from RefSeq and is a predicted model, not a curated record. Lineage: Eukaryota; Metazoa; Chordata; Aves; Passeriformes; Viduidae.
CUGAGGUGAUUUUGGCUCCCUGAUGGGAUUUGGGGACACUGUGAGAGAAUUUGGGGACACUGAGGUGAUUUUGGCUCCCUGAGAUUAUUUGGGGUCCCUGAGGGGAUUUGCCGUCUCUGAGGGGAUUUGGGGACGCUGUCACUGAGGGGCUGGGGACACUCACUGUGAGGCACUAGGGACAUUGUCACUGGGAGGAGCCUCUCCGGGGCCGCUCCGGGGCCGGUUCGGGGCCUGUCCGGGCCCAUUCCGGGGCCUGUCCGGGCCCAUUCCGGGGUCGGUUCGGGGCCGCUCCGCUCCCGGCCCCGGGGACUCCAUGGCGGCCCCGCCUCCCCCUCACCGCCGGCAAAGGGCGCGCCCCGCGACGCCGCCCAAUCAGGAGCCAGAACGUCCGUGAUUGACAGGCCGUGCCCUCAGGGAGGGAGCGCCUCCACCAAUCAGAUCGAGGGCGGGAACCAACCCGACCAAUGGGGGCUGCGGGCGGGCCGCGUCGCUGAGGAGAUCAACCAAUCAGGAGUGUCGUGGGCGGGGCCAAGCGGGAGCCGGGCGGUGGCGCGCGUGCGCAGGAGGCUGAGGCGGGCGGUGAAGCGGCGGCGGCGGCGCCGGGCGGAGGCGGCGGCGAUGGAGCCGGGUUACGGCGGAUAUGGCUCCUGGAGCACCGGGGCUGCCGGCGCCCAGGCUUCCUACGGCACGAGCACGAGCAGCAGUGCAAGGUGGGUGUGAGGGGCUCGGGGUCCCCGGCGGUCUGG